AACUAACGCUGGCGGCGUGCCUAACACAUGCAAGUCGUACGAGAAAGCCGGCUUCGGCUGGUGAGUAAAGUGGCGCACGGGUGAGUAACGCGUGGAUAAUCUGCCCUUAAGUGUGGAAUAACGUACCGAAAGGUGCGCUAAUACCGCAUAAUGCCUGGCAACACAAGUUGUCCGGCCAAAGAAGGCCUCUGUUUACAAGCUUUCGCUUCAGGAUGAGUCCGCGUACCAUUAGCUUGUUGGUGGGGUAACGGCCUACCAAGGCUACGAUGGUUAGCUGGUCUGAGAGGAUGAUCAGCCACACUGGAACUGAGACACGGUCCAGACUCCUACGGGAGGCAGCAGUGAGGAAUAUUGCGCAAUGGGGGCAACCCUGACGCAGCAACGCCGCGUGAGUGAGGAAGGUUUUCGGACUGUAAAGCUCUGUCGAGCGGGAAGAAAUGUACCAUGGCUAAUAUCCAUGAUAUUGACGGUACCGCUAGAGGAAGCACC
This 489-nucleotide ribosomal RNA is filed under the name uncultured bacterium. RNAcentral's name for it is "bacterial SSU rRNA". It matches the Rfam family "Bacterial small subunit ribosomal RNA", at positions 29 to 494 of the family's 1533-position model. The record is from RNAcentral.